CUGGCUCUUCCGGCAACGCCCUUCACGUGGCAGUCACGUGAGAGGCGCUGGGUGGGGCCCCGCGGCUGAGUUUCUCGGACUUGUGUCGGGAAGACGAAAAAACGAAGCUCUCAGGAGACACAUAUGUUACACACAACUGGCAGUAGCAGAGAUGUGAUCCAAACCCAGGCUGCUGAGUAUUGUGAAAAGAGAUCUGAGCUUGGAAGAUUGGACACGGAUUCCAGUAGUGAUGCCCAACCAAGUGGAGAGAUUUCUCUGAGACUCAGUUUUAUCAAACAAAAGCCAGAAAUUUUACUUGGUCUGUUUGGUUUAGAAGAAUCCCGAAGCAUCAAGUAAAAUAAUUAAUGUGAAUAUAAUUUUAAAAAUAUGAAGUUUUAGGAAAAUAAAUAUCACUCAUAAUCA
This is a long non-coding RNA of Herpailurus yagouaroundi (jaguarundi), 402 nucleotides long. RefSeq lists it as uncharacterized. The record is from RefSeq and is a predicted model, not a curated record. The transcript is spliced from 3 exons. Lineage: Eukaryota; Metazoa; Chordata; Mammalia; Carnivora; Felidae.